Molecule: ribosomal RNA, 481 nt
Filed under: Borreliella burgdorferi (Lyme disease spirochete)
Lineage: Bacteria; Pseudomonadati; Spirochaetota; Spirochaetia; Spirochaetales; Borreliaceae
Description: bacterial SSU rRNA
Rfam family: Bacterial small subunit ribosomal RNA
Source: RNAcentral
AGCAUGCAAGUCAAACGGGAUGUAGCAAUACAUCUAGUGGCGAACGGGUGAGUAACGCGUGGAUGAUCUACCUACGAGAUGGGGAUAACUAUUAGAAAUAGUAGCUAAUACCGAAUAAAGUCAAUUAAUUUGUUAAUUGAUGAAAGGAAGCCUUUAAAGCUUCGCUUGUAGAUGAGUCUGCGUCUUAUUAGCUAGUUGGUAGGGUAAAUGCCUACCAAGGCGAUGAUAAGUAACCGGCCUGAGAGGGUGAACGGUCACACUGGAACUGAGAUACGGUCCAGACUCCUACGGGAGGCAGCAGCUAAGAAUCUUCCGCAAUGGGCGAAAGCCUGACGGAGCGACACUGCGUGAAUGAAGAAGGUCGAAAGAUUGUAAAAUUCUUUUAUAAAUGAGGAAUAAGCUUUGUAGGAAAUGACAAAGUGAUGACGUUAAUUUAUGAAUAAGCCCCGGCUAAUUACGUGCCAGCAGCCGCGGUAAUACG